ACGCUAGCUACAGGCUUAACACAUGCAAGUCGAGGGGAAACGGCAUUGAGUGCUUGCACUCUUUGGACGUCGACCGGCGCACGGGUGAGUAACGCGUAUCCAACCUUCCCAUUACUGUGGGAUAACCUGCCGAAAGGCAGACUAAUACCGCAUAGUCUUCGAUGACGGCAUCAGAUUUGAAGUAAAGAUUUAUCGGUAAUGGAUGGGGAUGCGUCUGAUUAGCUUGUUGGCGGGGUAACGGCCCACCAAGGCGACGAUCAGUAGGGGUUCUGAGAGGAAGGUCCCCCACAUUGGAACUGAGACACGGUCAAACUCCUACGGGAGGCAGCAGUGAGGAAUAUUGGUCAAUGGACGGAAGUCUGAACCAGCCAAGUAGCGUGCAGGAUGACGGCCCUAUGGGUUGUAAACUGCUUUUGUAUGGGGAUAAAGUUAGGGACGUGUCCCUAUUUGCAGGUACCAUACGAAUAAGGACCGGCUAAUUCCGUGCCAGCAGCCGCGGUAAUAUGGAAGGUCCAGGCGUUAUCCGGCUUUAUUGGGUUUAAAGGGAGCGUAGGCUGGAGAUUAAGUGUGUUGUGAAAUGUAGACGCUCAACGUCUGAAUUGCAGCGCAUACUGGUUUCCUUGAGUACGCACAACGUUGGCGGAAUUCGUCGUGUAGCGGUGAAAUGCUUAGAUAUGACGAAGAACUCCGAUUGCGAAGGCAGCUGACGGGAGCGCAACUGACGCUUAAGCUCGAAGGUGCGGGUAUCAAACAGGAUUAGAUACCCUGGUAGUCCGCACAGUAAACGAUGGAUGCCCGCUGUUGGUACCUGGUAUCAGCGGCUAAGCGAAAGCAUUAAGCAUCCCACCUGGGGAGUACGCCGGCAACGGUGAAACUCAAAGGAAUUGACGGGGGCCCGCACAAGCGG
RNAcentral lists this ribosomal RNA (907 nucleotides) under uncultured bacterium. RNAcentral describes it as "bacterial SSU rRNA". It matches the Rfam family "Bacterial small subunit ribosomal RNA", at positions 33 to 932 of the family's 1533-position model. The record is from RNAcentral.